CCUACGGGGAGCAGCAGUGCGGAAUAUUGGUCAAAGGGCGUAAGCCUGAACCAGCCAAGUCGCGUGAGGGAUGAAGGUUCUAUGGAUCGUAAACCUCUUUUAUAAGGGAAUAAAGUGUGGGACGUGUCCUGUUUUGUCUGUACCUUAUGAAUAAGGAUCGGCUAACUCCGUGCCAGCAGCCGCGGUAAUACGGAGGGUCCGAGCGUUAUCCGGAUUUAUUGGGUUUAAAGGGUGCGUAGGCGGCCUUUUAAGUCAGCGGUGAAAGUCUGUGGCUCAACCAUAGAAGUGCCGUUGAAACUGGGAGGCUUGAGUAUGUUUGAGGCAGGCGGAAUGCGUGGUGUAGCGGUGAAAUGCUUAGAUAUCACGCAGAACCCCGAUUGCGAAGGCAGCCUGCCAAGCCAUGACUGACGCUGAUGCACGAAAGCGUGGGGAUCAAACAGGAUUAGAUACCCGGGUAGUC
Molecule: ribosomal RNA, 460 nt
Filed under: uncultured bacterium
Lineage: Bacteria
Description: partial 16S ribosomal RNA
Rfam family: Bacterial small subunit ribosomal RNA
Source: RNAcentral